GAUUAACGCUAGCGGCAGGCAUAAUACAUGCAAGUUGAACGGCAGCACAGGUAGCAAUACUGGGUGGCGAGUGGCGCACGGGUGCGUAACACGUAUGCAACCUACCCUAUACAGGCGAAUAACCUUUAGAAAUGAGGGCUAAUACGCCGUAGUAUUACAGAUGGGCAUCUAUUUGUAAUUAAAGAUUUAUCGGUAUAGGAUGGGCAUGCGUCCCAUUAGUUAGUUGGUAAGGUAACGGCUUACCAAGACGAUGAUGGGUAGGGGAUCUGAGAGGACUUACCCCCACACUGGUACUGAGACACGGACCAGACUCCUACGGGAGGCAGCAGUAAGGAAUAUUGGGCAAUGGCCGCGAGGCUGACCCAGCCAUGCCGGGUGCAGGAAGACGGCCUUAUGGGUUGUAAACUGCUUUUAUACGGGAAUAAUAGAGUGUACGCGUACAUUUAUGCAGGUAUCGUAUGAAUAAGCAUCGGCUAACUCCGUG
Molecule: ribosomal RNA, 484 nt
Filed under: uncultured bacterium
Lineage: Bacteria
Description: partial 16S ribosomal RNA
Rfam family: Bacterial small subunit ribosomal RNA
Source: RNAcentral